Molecule: ribosomal RNA, 451 nt
Filed under: uncultured soil bacterium
Lineage: Bacteria
Description: bacterial SSU rRNA
Rfam family: Bacterial small subunit ribosomal RNA
Source: RNAcentral
AGAACGAACGCUGGCGGCAGGCUUAACACAUGCAAGUCGAACGGUUGUAGCAAUACAGCAGUGGCAGACGGGUGAGUAACACGUGGGAACCUUCCUAGGGGUACGGAACAACUCAGGGAAACUUGAGCUAAUACCGUAUACGUCCGUGAGGAGAAAGAUUUAUCGCCCCUAGACGGGCCCGCGUAGGAUUAGGUAGUUGGUGAGGUAACGGCUCACCAAGCCUACGAUCCUUAGCUGAUCUGAGAGGAUGAUCAGCCACACUGGGACUGAGACACGGCCCAGACUCCUACGGGAGCAGCAGUGGGGAAUCUUGGACAAUGGGCGCAAGCCUGAUCCAGCCAUGCCGCGUGAGUGAAGAAGGCCUUCGGGUUGUAAAGCUCUUUUACCAGGGACGAUAAUGACGGUACCUGGAGAAUAAGACCCCGGCAAACGUUCGUCGCCAGCACGCCGC